Molecule: ribosomal RNA, 116 nt
Filed under: Bacillus aerius
Lineage: Bacteria; Bacillati; Bacillota; Bacilli; Caryophanales; Bacillaceae
Source: RNAcentral
UCUGGUGAUGAUGGCGAAGAGGUCACACCCGUUCCCAUACCGAACACGGAAGUUAAGCUCUUCAGCGCCGAUGGUAGUUGGGGUUUUCCCCCUGUGAGAGUAGGACAUCGCCAGGC